RNAcentral lists this transfer RNA (90 nucleotides) under Kitasatospora indigofera. Its description in RNAcentral is "tRNA-Ala". The record is from RNAcentral. Lineage: Bacteria; Bacillati; Actinomycetota; Actinomycetes; Kitasatosporales; Streptomycetaceae.
CGGCGCCGGUCGGCGGUGCGCGCCGGGCGGGUCAGCGAUCCGCUCCGGUGGCGGCCCGCCGGCCCGCCGGCCCGGCUCCGUCGGUGCUGC